GAUGACCAAUUCACUGCCACAAAAAGAGAAGGGAUGUUGAUGUUGAGGCCCGAUGCAGUCCGUUUUCAUUCAUCGCCCUAAGCCGAAGAGGAGGAAACCCCCUUCUGUGAGGGUGCCUCCAGAACCAAGUGCAACAGACCACACAUAUUGCGCCAAAUUAAACUUCGAGAUUGAGGGAGAAAUUGAGGUGGAUUUCAAGAGCGAUGAAAAGGACAUGACAGGAGACACAGAGAGCAAUCAAGAGGCCACUUUGCCAGGGGCAGGUGAUCCAGGGACCAGACUGCCAGGGACUGAUGGGGCGACUGUGGAGGACCCAAUAAGGCAACUAGAAAAGUUAAUGAGAAGGAGAGUAGAGAGGGCUCUUGUAAAACAAAAAAUAAUAAAUUUGGCACUAAGAAAGAGAAACAAUUCAGUCAACAAGAAGUUAAAACGAAACAGCCAUACAGGUUAAAUUCACCGCCCAUCAUAAUCAGCAUUGUUGAAGCGGCGGCAUCUUUAGGG
Long non-coding RNA from Gadus macrocephalus (Pacific cod), 501 nucleotides. RefSeq lists it as uncharacterized. The transcript has 3 exons. NCBI's taxonomy places the organism in Eukaryota, Metazoa, Chordata, Actinopteri, Gadiformes, Gadidae. The record is from RefSeq and is a predicted model, not a curated record.